GAAAUGCGAUAAGUAAUGUGAAUUGCAGAAUUCAGUGAAUCAUCGAAUCUUUGAACGCACCUUGCGCUCCUUGGUAUUCCUUGGAGCAUGCCUGUUUGAGUAUCAUGAAAUCUUCAAAGUAAAUCUUUUGUUAACUCAAUUGGUUUCUACUUUGGUAUUGGAGGUCUUUGCAGCUUCACACCUGCUCCUCUUUGUUCAUUAGCUGGAUCUCAGUGUUAUGCUUGGUUCCACUCGGCGUGAUAAGUUAUCUAUCGCUGAGGACACUGUAAAAGGUGGCCAAGGUAAAUGCAGAUGAACCGCUUCUAAUAGUCCAUUGACUUGGACAAUACUUUUAUGAUCUGAUCUCAACUCAGGUAGGACUACCCGCUGAACUUAAGC
This 378-nucleotide unclassified non-coding RNA is filed under the name plant metagenome. RNAcentral describes it as "partial contains 5.8S ribosomal RNA, internal transcribed spacer 2, and large subunit ribosomal RNA". The stretch from base 1 to 105 matches the Rfam family "5.8S ribosomal RNA", at positions 50 to 154 of the family's 154-position model. The record is from RNAcentral.